This 947-nucleotide long non-coding RNA is filed under the name Marmota monax (woodchuck). The record is from RNAcentral. Lineage: Eukaryota; Metazoa; Chordata; Mammalia; Rodentia; Sciuridae.
CUGAACCUAGUGAUGUGAGGGUAGAUUGUAUUUAACACUACUGAAUUUUAUACUUAAAAAGGGUCAAAAUGUAGUUUGGUAGUAGAGUGAGUGCCUAGUAUGUGAAGGGCCCUGAGUUCAAUCUCCAGCAACCCCCUCACUUCAAAUAGUUAAGAUGGUAAAUUUAAUGUUGUGUUUUUUACCACAGUUGAUGGUUUAGUGGUAAGUUUCUAUUAAGUGUAUUUUAUACCCCUUAACAAACAAACCACAAAACUAUUUAACAUUUGAUUCGGCUUUCUAAAAGAGCAUUUAAUCACCAAUAGUCCCUUCUGUUCCAGGUGAUAGCUACUAUUAACCAGUGGUCAGUGAGUCAGGAGGAUCCUUUAUCAUAGUUUCCCAUGCUUUAGGAUCAUUGGUCUAUACUUUCAGGUAUUGAACACAGGUUUGUAAUUUAACCCAAGGAUGCUUUACCACUGAGCCUCAUCCUCUGCCCUUUUUAUUUUUUAUUUUGAGACAGGGUCUUGCUGAGUUUCUUAAAGCCUCCCUGAGUUGCUGAGGCCGGCCUUGAGCUUGUGAUCCUCCUGUCUUAGCCUCCUGAGUUGCUGAGAUUACUGGCAUGCUCCACCAUUCCGGGUGGUAUUGUCUUUUUAUUGUGCAUAGACCUCCUUGGAAUCACAGAAUGUUAAUGCCAGAGAGAAUCCUACAUUGAAUUUUCAGAGAGGUGGAGCAACUUCCCAAAGGUCAUAUGGCUAAUUAAAGAAUCUGACCUUUCUUUUCUGCCCUUCCUACUUGGGAUUGAACCGAGACCUACCUCUGAGCUACAUUCUAAGCCCUUUUUUACCUUUUGUUUUGUUUUUAAAUACUUUUAGUUGUAGAUGGACAUGAUAUUUUUAUUUUUUAUGUGGUGCUGAGAAUUGAACCCAGUGCUUCACAUGUGCUAGGCAAGCGCUCUACUGCUGAGCCACAAC